AAGGAAAUUUUUAAAAUCAUCAUCUUCAGUUUUGAAAGACUUAAAUUAAUUUAAAAAAAUAAGUUUUUCUUUUUCAUUAAUUAUUCUUAUAGUAUUUAAUUUUUUAA
Molecule: unclassified non-coding RNA, 107 nt
Filed under: Texas Phoenix palm phytoplasma
Lineage: Bacteria; Bacillati; Mycoplasmatota; Mollicutes; Acholeplasmatales; Acholeplasmataceae
Description: 16S-23S ribosomal RNA intergenic spacer
Source: RNAcentral